Molecule: transfer RNA, 47 nt
Filed under: Emydura victoriae (Northern red-faced turtle)
Lineage: Eukaryota; Metazoa; Chordata; Testudines; Chelidae
Description: partial tRNA-Glu
Source: RNAcentral
GUUCCUGUGGUUUUAUGUGUCUUUGUGGGGUAAUAAUUGAUUGUUCC